Ribosomal RNA from Neurospora crassa OR74A, 3337 nucleotides. It matches the Rfam family "Eukaryotic large subunit ribosomal RNA". The record is from Rfam. NCBI's taxonomy places the organism in Eukaryota, Fungi, Ascomycota, Sordariomycetes, Sordariales, Sordariaceae.
UGACCUCGGAUUAGGUAGGAAUAUCCGUUGAAUUUAAAUAUAUUAAUAAACGGAGGAAAAGAAAUUAAUAGGGAUUGCCCUAGUAAUAGCGAGUAAAGUAGUAAUAGUUCAAAUUUAAAAUUUGGCUUCGGCCUAAAUUAUAAUUUAUAAAGGAAGUUUUUAGUAAGGUACUUUCUAAAUCCCUUAAAAUAGGGUACUAUAGAGGGUGAGAGCUUUAUAUAGUCGGAUGCCGAUUUAAUAUAAAGUUCCUUUAACGAAUUGAAUAGUUUAGGAAUAUUGUUUAAAAUAGGAGGUAAAUUUCUUCUAAAGUUAAAUAUUGGUUAAAGAUUAAUAGUAUAUAAGUAGAGUAAUUGAAAGAUGAAAAGCACUUUGAAAAGAGGGUUAAAUAGUAUAUAAAAUUAUUAAAAGGGAAGUGUUUGUAAUUAGAUUUGUAUUAUUCUAAUUAUUUAGUAUUUUUAUUAAUAUAUUUAGGACGGUUUAGGCUAAUAUUGGUUUUAGCGGGGGGAUAAAGGUCUAAGGAAUGUAGUUCCUCCGGGAGUAUUAUAGCCCCGGGCGUAAUACUUUUAUUAAGAUUGAAGUUCGUAUAUUUAUAAGGAUAUUAAUAUAAUAAUUAUUAACGAUCUAUUUUGAAAUACAGAUUAAGGAAUUAAGGUUUUAUGCGAGUAUUUGGGUGUAAAAUCUAUAUGUGUAAUGAAAGUGAAUGUAGGUAAGAGCUUCGGUGUAUUAUUAACCGAUUUUAAUAUAUUUGGAUAGAUUUAAAUAAGAGUGUUAAACUUUGGACCCGAAAGAUGGUGAAUUAUAUUUAAAUAGGGUGAAGCUAGAGGAAAUUUUGGUAGAGGUUUAUAGCGGUUUUAAUAUGUAAAUCGAUUGUUAAAUUUAAAUAUAGGGGCGAAAGAUUAAUUAAACUAUUUAAUAGUUAAUUACUACUAAAGUUUCCUUUAGGAUAGUAGUAUUAUUCUUUAAUUUUAUAAAGUAAAGCGAAUAAUUAAGGAUUUGGGGGUGUUUUUUAGCCUUUAUCUAUUCUUAAAUUUUAAAUAUAUAAGAAGCCUUUAUUAUUUAAUUGAAUAUAAAUAUUCGAAUAUACUAAUAUUAGUAGGCUAUUUUUAGUAAAUAGAAUUAGCGAUAUAGGAUAAACCGAACGUAGGGUUAAGGUGCUAGAGUAGAUGUUUAUUAGAUAUUAUAAAAAGCGUUAAUAUAUUUUAAUAGUAGGACGGUAGUUAUAGAAGUUGGAAUUUGCUAAGGAUUAUAUAAUAAUUUAUUUGCCGAAUGUAUUAGCUUUGAAAAUAGAUAGUAUUUAAAUAUUCUAUUUAUACCUUGCCUUUAGGGUAGAAAUAAUGUUUUAAAGAGUAGGCGGUUAUAGAGGUUAGUAACGAAGUUUAGGGUGUAAAUUUAGGUUAAACGGCCUUUAGUAUAGAUUUUAAUAGUAGUAGUAAAUAUUUUAAUAAGAAUUUGAAGGACCGAAGUAGGGAAAGGUUCUAUAUAAAUAGCGGUUGGAUAUAGGUUAAUUAAUUUUAAGCUAUAGGGAAGUUCUGUUUUAAAGGAGUAUUUGUAUUCCGUAUAGUAAAAGGGAAGUUGGUUAAUAUUUUAGUAUUUAGAUAUAGGUUUUGUAUAGUAAUAUAAUUAAAUAUGGAGACAAUAGUAGGGGCUCCGGGUAGAAUUCUCUUUUCUUUUUAAUAGUUUAUUAUUUUAAAAAUAAUUUAUUUAGAAAUAGGGUUUAAUAGUUAGAAGAGUCCGAUAUUUCUAUUAAGUCCGGUAUAUUUUUAAUAUUCCUUAAAAAUUUAUAGGAGGGAAUAAUUUUUAUACUAGGUCGUACUUAUAAUUGUAGUAAGUCUCUAAAGUGAAUAGCCUUUAAUUAAUAGAAUAAUAUAGAUAAAGGAAGUUAGUAAAAUAAAUUUAUAAUUUUAGGAAAAGGAUUAAUUCUAAGGAUUAGGUAUAUUGGGCUUUAGGUAAAUACCCUAGGAGUAGAUCACUACUAGCCGGGUAAUUAGCUAGCGGCUUUUAAUAUCCGGAUAUAGAAGCCUUUAAUAAAUUUUAAUUGUCCGGCGUAUAUUUAAUAACUAAUUUAGAAUUGGUACAAAUAGGGGGAAUCUAAUUAUUUAAUUAAAAUAUAGUAUUAUAAUAGUUAGAAAGUAGUAUUAAUAUAAUAUGAUUUUUAUUUAGUAUUUUGAAUAUUAAAGUAAAGAAAUUUAAUUAAGCGUAGGUAAACGGCGGGAGUAAUUAUAAUUCUUUUAAAGUAGUUAAAUACUUUAUUAUUUAAUUAGUAAUAUAUAUAAAUAGAUUAAUGAAAUUCCUAUUGUCCCUAUCUACUAUUUAGCGAAACUAUAGCUAAGGGAAUAGACUUAGUAAAAUUAACGGGGAAAAAAGACCCUAUUGAAUUUAAUUUUAAUUUAAUAUUAUAAAAAGAUAUAGGAGGUGUAGAAUAGGUAGGAGCUUCGGCGCUAGUAAAAUACUAUUAUUCCUAUUAUUUUUUUACUUAUUUAAUUAAGCGGGGCUAAAUUUUCGUCUAACUUCUAAUUUUAAAGUCCUUUGUAGGCCGACCCGGAUUAAAGAUAUUAUUAAGUAGGGAGUUUGGCUGGGGUAGUAUAUUUAUUAAACUAUAAUAUAGGUGUUUUAAAGGGGGCUUAUAGAGAAUAGAAAUUUCUAGUAGAAUAAAAGGGUAAAAGUCCCCUUAAUUUUGAUUUUUAGUAUAAAUACAAAUUAUAAAAGUAUAGCCUAUUAAUCCUUUAGUCCCUCGAAAUUUGAAGCUAAAAGUACUAGAAAAGUUAUUAUAGGGAUAAUUAAUUUAUAGUAACUAAAUAUUUAUAGUAACAUUGCUUUUUAAUCCUUCGAUAUCGGUUCUUCCUAUUAUAUUAAAAUAGAAUUCAGUAAACGUUAGAUUAUUUACUUACUAAUAAGGAAUAUAAGCUAGGUUUAGACUAUUAUAAAAUAAAUUAGUUUUAUCCUAUUAAUAACUUUAUUAUAAUAGUAAUUAAAUUUAGUAUAAGAGGAAUUACUUAUUUAAAUAAUUGGUUUUUAUAGUUAUCCGACUGGGUAGUACUAUAAUACUACUAUCUAUUAGAUAAUAGUUGAAUGCUUUUAAAUUAGAAUUUAUAUUAGAAUACAAUAAUACUUUUAAUAUAUUAUAAACGUAUAAAAAUAGGCUCCGGCCUUGUAUUUUAAUAAACGAUUCCUCUAUUAGCUUUAAAGUAGCUAGUAGUAAUUUAUGUAUUGUAAUUUUAAUACGCACUGGAUUAAAUCCUUUAUAAAUAAUUUAAAUAUAUAAAAGGGUCCUAUAAGUAGUAAAGUAGCUUUAUUAUUACAAUCUACUAAAGGUAAACCUUCCUUUAUUUAAAUUUCU